This 427-nucleotide long non-coding RNA is filed under the name Hordeum vulgare. RNAcentral describes it as "long non-coding RNA (HVUL_LNC004128)". Lineage: Eukaryota; Viridiplantae; Streptophyta; Magnoliopsida; Poales; Poaceae. The record is from RNAcentral.
AAUUAGAGAAGAAACUUUAGUCAGUAAAAGUUGGGGGUGGGGUGACUAGGGACUAAACUAGUUUCAGUCACCCAUUAGUCAGGGGUGUUUGGAGGUUUACUGACUAAAGAUGACUACUACUAGUCUCUAGUGAUCCAAACACCCUCUUUGUCAUCAUCCACCAACAAAAAGAAGGCUUUGCCAUCAGCCACCACGUGCACUAGACGACAAAUGCAUGGUCAGUUUCAUUCAAGUUGGCUUUUUUCACACAUUUAUUCAACUUGAUUGAAGUACAAUAUGCAAACAAGACAAUGAAAGAGCUAAAGUUACAAAAUAUCCUGGGAUAUUAACACACAGAACCCUAAAAUAAAAAUAAAAAGCAAUCGACCCCUUCUUCUCCACUACAGAGCUUUGUUUGCCCUGCCCCACGGAUCCGACGCUCGUCGCN